Molecule: long non-coding RNA, 131 nt
Organism: Hippocampus comes (tiger tail seahorse)
Lineage: Eukaryota; Metazoa; Chordata; Actinopteri; Syngnathiformes; Syngnathidae
Exons: 3
Source: RefSeq, a predicted model, not a curated record
GAUUUUAGAAGAUUUCCCUGAAAAUUAUGGACAAUUAAGAACAUAAUUUUACAACUUCUUUUUUUAUUGAUUUUUAUGAACUUUAUGGACCCGUACGAACCCUGAAUAUUGUAGAACUGGUUAGCACCAAA